This 253-nucleotide ribosomal RNA is filed under the name uncultured bacterium. RNAcentral describes it as "partial 16S ribosomal RNA". It matches the Rfam family "Bacterial small subunit ribosomal RNA", at positions 524 to 776 of the family's 1533-position model. The record is from RNAcentral.
UACGUAGGGGGCAAGCGUUGUCCGGAUUCAUUGGGCGUAAAGAGCGUGUAGGCGGCCAGGUAGGUCGGUUGUGAAAACUGGAGGCUCAACCUUCAGAGGUCGACCGAGACCAUCUGGCUAGAGUCCGGGAGAGGAGAGUGGAAUUCCUGGUGUAGCGGUGAAAUGCGCAGAUAUUGGGAGGAACACCAGUGGCGAAGGCGGCUACCUGGACCGGUUCUGACGCUGAUGCGCGAAAGCGUGGGUAGCAAACAGG